UUCGCAAUGCCCGAAAGGGUGACGAAGCGACGCCGCGUGGGUGAAGAAGGCCUUCGGGUUGUAAAGCCCUGUCAGGAGUUAUGAAAUGUAAGUGCGCUAAUAUCGUGCUUAUUUGACAAAGGCUCCAAAGGAAGCCACGGCUAACUCUGUGCCAGCAGCCGCGGUAAUACAGAGGUGGCGAGCGUUGUUCGGAAUUAUUGGGCGUAAAGAGCACGUAGGUGGGUUUGCAAGUCAGAUGUGAAAGCCUUCUGUUCAACGGAAGAAUUGCAUCUGAAACUGCUAAUCUUGAGUAUAGGAGGGGAGAAUGGAACUUCUGGUGGGGCGGUGAAAUGCGUAGAUAUCAGAAGGAACGCCGGCGGCGAAAGCGAUUCUCUGGCCUAUUACUGACACUCAGUGUGCGAAAGCUAGGGGAGCAAACGGGAUUAGAUACCCCGGUAGUCCUAGCCGUAAACGAUGGGCACUAAGUAGA
This 469-nucleotide ribosomal RNA is filed under the name uncultured bacterium. Its description in RNAcentral is "bacterial SSU rRNA". It matches the Rfam family "Bacterial small subunit ribosomal RNA", at positions 365 to 824 of the family's 1533-position model. The record is from RNAcentral.